GCGGGCGGGUGCUAUACAUGCAGUCGAGCGGACAGAAGGGAGCUUGCUCCCGGAUGUUAGCGGCGGACGGGUGAGUAACACGUGGGUAACCUGCCUGUAAGACUGGGAUAACUCCGGGAAACCGGAGCUAAUACCGGAUAGUUCCUUGAACCGCAUGGUUCAAGGAUGAAAGACGGUUUCGGCUGUCACUUACAGAUGGACCCGCGGCGCAUUAGCUAGUUGGUGAGGUAACGGCUCACCAAGGCGACGAUGCGUAGCCGACCUGAGAGGGUGAUCGGCCACACUGGGACUGAGACACGGCCCAGACUCCUACGGGAGGCAGCAGUAGGGAAUCUUCCGCAAUGGACGAAAGUCUGACGGAGCAACGCCGCGUGAGUGAUGAAGGUUUUCGGAUCGUAAAGCUCUGUUGUUAGGGAAGAACAAGUGCAAGAGUAACUGCUUGCACCUUGACGGUACCUAACCAGAAAGCCACGGCUAACUACGUGCCAGCAGCCGCGGUAAUACGUAGGUGGCAAGCGUUGUCCGGAAUUAUUGGGCGUAAAGGGCUCGCAGGCGGUUUCUUAAGUCUGAUGUGAAAGCCCCCGGCUCAACCGGGGAGGGUCAUUGGAAACUGGGAAACUUGAGUGCAGAAGAGGAGAGUGGAAUUCCACGUGUAGCGGUGAAAUGCGUAGAGAUGUGGAGGAACACCAGUGGCGAAGGCGACUCUCUGGUCUGUAACUGACGCUGAGGAGCGAAAGCGUGGGGAGCGAACAGGAUUAGAUACCCUGGUAGUCCACGCCGUAAACGAUGAGUGCUAAGUGUUAGGGGGUUUCCGCCCCUUAGUGCUGCAGCUAACGCAUUAAGCACUCCGCCUGGGGAGUACGGUCGCAAGACUGAAACUCAAAGGAAUUGACGGGGGCCCGCACAAGCGGUGGAGCAUGUGGUUUAAUUCGAAGCAACGCGAAGAACCUUACCAGGUCUUGACAUCCUCUGACAACCCUAGAGAUAGGGCUUUCCCUUCGGGGACAGAGUGACAGGUGGUGCAUGGUUGUCGUCAGCUCGUGUCGUGAGAUGUUGGGUUAAGUCCCGCAACGAGCGCAACCCUUGAUCUUAGUUGCCAGCAUUCAGUUGGGUACUCUAAGGUGACUGCCGGUGACAAACCGGAGGAAGGUGGGGAUGACGUCA
Molecule: ribosomal RNA, 1164 nt
Filed under: Bacillus pumilus
Lineage: Bacteria; Bacillati; Bacillota; Bacilli; Caryophanales; Bacillaceae
Description: bacterial SSU rRNA
Rfam family: Bacterial small subunit ribosomal RNA
Source: RNAcentral